AUUGAACGCUGGCGGCAGGCCUAACACAUGCAAGUCGAACGAGUGGCGGACGGGUGAGUAAUGUCUGGGAAACUGCCUGAUGGAGGGGGAUAACUACUGGAAACGGUAGCUAAUACCGCAUACCAUCGGAUGUGCCCAGAUGGGAUUAGCUUGUUGGUGGGGUAACGGCUCACCAAGGCGACGAUCCCUAGCUGGUCUGAGAGGAUGACCAGCCACACUGGAACUGAGACACGGUCCAGACUCCUACGGGAGGCAGCAGUGGGGAAUAUUGGACAAUGGGCGAAAGCCUGAUCCAGCCAUGCCGCGUGUGUGAAGAAGGUCUUCGGAUUGUAAAGCACUUUAAGUUGGGAGGCGUUACCAACAGAAUAAGCACCGGCUAACUUCGUGCCAGCAGCCGCGGUAAUUC
This 406-nucleotide ribosomal RNA is filed under the name uncultured bacterium. RNAcentral's name for it is "partial 16S ribosomal RNA". It matches the Rfam family "Bacterial small subunit ribosomal RNA", at positions 30 to 526 of the family's 1533-position model. The record is from RNAcentral.